UCAUCUGUAAUAAGAGGAAAUUUGUUACCAGUGGCAAAUCUGUACAAAUCUCAGCAACCUCAAUUCUUGUCUCCUCAGAAGAAAGAAUUGAACUGAGGGGCAUAAGGCAGAAGGAGAGGCUGAGGCAAGUAUUAUUUAUUUACUUGUUUAUUUAUUUAUUUAUUUUUGAGAAGGAAUCUCGCUCUGUUGCCCAGGCUGGAGUGCAGUGGCCCGAUCUUGGCUCACUGCAACCUCCCCCUCCUGGGUUCCAGCGAUUCUCCUGCCUUGGCCUCCCAAGUAGCUGGGAUUACAGGCACCUGCCACCACACCAGGGUAAUUUUUGUAUUAUUUUUAGUAGAGACGGGGUUUCACCAUGUUGGCCAGGCUGGUCUCGAACUCCUCACCUCAAGUGAUCCACCCACCUCGGCCUCCCAAAGUGCUGGGAUUACAUGCGUGAGCCACCGCGCCCAGCCGAGGCAAGUUUUAGAGCAGGACUGAAAGUUUAUUAAAAAGCUUUAGAGCAGGGAAAAAAAGAAGGAAAGUACACUUGGAAGAGGGCCAAGCAGGCGAGUUGAAGGACAAGUGUCCGCUUUGACCUUUUAACUUAGGGUUUUCUAUGUAAGUAUACUUCCAGGGUCUUGCCUCCCUUCUGCCCUGAUUCUUCCCUUGGGGGUGUGCUGUCCGCAUGUGCAGUGGCCUGCUAGCGCUUGGAAAGGGAGCAUGCGCAGUGUGUUUACUGGCGUUGUACGCAUGCUCACUCCAGGCGUUCUUCCCUUACCAGAAUGUUCCUAGGAGGUCAUAUACCAGUUAAACUGCCCCAUUUUGCCUCUUAGUGUACAUUGUGAGCCCACUCAACCAGUUCCUGAGAUACUAUUGGGAAGCUGCUGAUACCAGUUUCAGGUUUUUUCCAUCUGUUGGGAAACCGCCUAUCCCUGGUGCUCGCUGCAACCAAUUAUUAUUUUAGGGAGACAGUUAACCGCCUGACCAUCACCCGAUGAUCGCCUGAUAUUCUUGGUAGGGGGUGGGGAGGGUGCUGCCUCCUCCCCUGCUCAUGUCUGCCUGACUACCUACUGUAACAAACUGAGCUAAAAGUCAUUUUUAGCUAUAGCCUUUUUUUUUUUUUUUUUUUUGAGACAGAGUUGCGCUCUUGCUGCCCAGGCUGAAGUGCAGUGGCACGAUCUUGGCUCACUGCAGCCUCCGCCUACUGGAUUCAAGCAAUUCUCCUGCCUCAGCCUCCCAAGUAGCUGGGAUUACAGGUGCCUGCCACCAUGCCCGGCUAAUUUUUGUAUUUUUAGUAGAGACAGGGUUUCACCAUGUUGGCCAGGCUGGUCUCGGAACUCCUGACAUCAGGCGAUCUGCCCGCCUCCGCCUCCCAAAGUGCUGGGAUUACAGGCGUGAGCCACCACGCCAAGCCUACAGCCUUUUAUAAUUGUUUUUCCAACCCCCAAAUCAGCAUCCACGACUAUAUAAACUUUUUGGCCGUUUGAUCAAAUGGGGACAUCUGGCAUACUGCUAUCAACCAAUAUUGUAAGUAAUUGAACUUUGAUAUAUCACGUCAACCCAGAGGAAACUAUAGCUAUUGAAGUAGCAGGAGUGUCCCGGGGGACUGGGAGAGGGUGGAUAUGGCCUACAGACCACUUCCAUGAUCUCAUGUAUUAUCUCUUUUUUAUACUUCUGUAUUUUCACAAUUAUCUGAUUUUUGUGUUUUAUGUUAUUUUAUAUUCUUCUUCCAACCCUGGCCCCUUUCUUUCCUUUACAGUGUUUGAGCUUUAGUGUUCUUGCAAGAGAAUUUUCAGAAGUUGGGGUCUGAAAUAAAUGUAUUAUAAUACUUGCUAACUGAAAUAUGUUCCCAGCCAACUUCAUUCAUCAGCUCACACUGGGCAAAGCCUCUGGAGCUUGAGGUGGGAGGUGCUGCUUCUGCAGGAGUUCCUGGUACUGGAGUCCUAGGGAUAGGACCCUUACAGAUGCCAUCUCAGUACAUGGACCCUGUGGUUCACCUCGUGUAAGGCAGAGGCUCUCAGUGUACUUCUAUGUCCAGCUUGUGCCUUGUCUUCUUGUUUCUUAAACAUGUGCUUCUGUUUGGUCACAUUGCACCUUGUUCUAUUAACCAACAUAGCGGGUGUACAUUUCAGGCUACACAUUCAAUUGUGUAAGAAACAUCCUUUUUUUCUCUAUUCUGCCAGGUAGUUGAAAAUUAAGCUGAGCGUCUGAGUUCUGGGAUGUUCACCUGUGCCAAGGAGUCAGAAUGGAGGUUCUUACAGGGUCUUGCUCUGUCACCCAGGCUGGAAUUCAGUGGCAUGAUCACUUCUCACUGCAACCUUGACCUCCCAGGCUCAAGUCAUCCUCCCACCUUAGCCCCUGGAGUAGCUGGGCCUACAGGUGCAUGUCACCAUGCCUGGCUAUUUUUUUUUUUUUUUAAUUUUUGUAAAGAGAGGAUCUCACUAUGUUGCCCAGGCUGGUCUCAAACUCUUGGACUCAAGUAAUCCUCCAACCUUGCCACCCAAAAUGUUGGGAUUACAGGUGUGAGCCACCAUGCCUGGCCUAAAAUUUUCUUUAUAAUAUAGUAAUGUGAUAGGCACUUUCUUCCCACCUGCUGCUAAAAAUUUGGAGAUACUGUACCCUCCAUCUCAAUUUUAAGUAUGAUCAGAAUUAUAUAUCUAAUUGAACUAAA
This is a long non-coding RNA of Pongo pygmaeus (Bornean orangutan), 2650 nucleotides long. RefSeq lists it as uncharacterized. The record is from RefSeq and is a predicted model, not a curated record. NCBI's taxonomy places the organism in Eukaryota, Metazoa, Chordata, Mammalia, Primates, Hominidae. The transcript has 2 exons.